Long non-coding RNA from Silurus meridionalis, 3660 nucleotides. RefSeq lists it as uncharacterized. Lineage: Eukaryota; Metazoa; Chordata; Actinopteri; Siluriformes; Siluridae. The transcript has 3 exons. The record is from RefSeq and is a predicted model, not a curated record.
GUCUGCCUUUAGUGUAGCCUGGAGAUACAGCCAGUUUCGAUCUGUUCUCCCUCAAAAUUAAAUGAAAUUAAAUUAAAUUAAAUUUUAUUUGUAUAGCGCUUUUAACAAUGAACAUUGUCUCAAAGCAGCUUUACACAGAUAAUGUGGUGAUUAAAAGUAAAUAUGUUCUUUGUAAGUAAGUUUGUCCCUGAUGAGCACCUGUGGCUAGGAAAAACUCUCCGAGAUGGCAUAAGGAAGAAACCUUGAGAGGAACCAGACUCAAGAGGGAACCCAUCCUCAUCUGGGUUGCACCGAAUGUCCAUUUGAAGCAGAAAUGCAAGCUCUCGUGGGUCUCCUAAACUCAUUAGACUCUGAGGGAGAUGGUGAACUACUGUGUGAACUACCAGUGGCCAUUCAACAUUGUGCAACCUGUCACUCAGCACUGACCAUUCAGCAGAGUCACUCAGCACUGACCACUCAGCAGUGGCCUUUCAGCAUGCAUUCUGCAUCGCGCAACCUACCAAACAGCAGCUAAGAUAGCAAGAAUCACCUCGUAUACGAUCAGUUCCAUACCAGUAAAGUUGAGUGUUCUGAAUCCUGUACCGUGUUUUGACUGACAUGCUGGGGCGAGUACAAUCCCCUGAUCAGCGCACACCAUAUAGUGAAAAUCCUAACGUUUGGUCAUUCGAGCCGGAUAGGAAACCUUCCUAACAAUUGGUUGUGAUUCUGUCCAUUGUGACUGUGUAUGUAAGGGAGUGGCAUUGCAUGACUACAGCACAGUGCUGUGCAUAAAAGCAGACUGACCCAGGCGGGAGAAUAAUUUCUUCUUUACAUUUUUGAAAACGCACAUCAGAAUGGCCUCCAUAUCACUGCCACGCAGGAAGAACCUCUCCGCGCAACAGGCUUUGGCCUGGCUUCAGGAAAUGGACGAAGCAGACUCUGAUGGAGGAGAGAUUUCAUUUGUCCAGCAGGCCACUGAUACCUCUCUAGAAGAAUCCUAAAAGGAGAUGGAACAAGAACCCGUGCACCGUGGUACUGGGAAGCCCUGUCUGAGCCAGACGGCAAAAGCCGGCACUGUGUGGGUAGAGGAGGACAUUGGAAUGCCCAGUGCAGUAGCAAAUCACUCGUGCUUCACUGCGCAAGCUGGACCCACAGAGUCUGCUAAGUGUAAAAUUACAAGCGUGCUCCAAAGCUUCCUUUGCCUGUUAGACGUGGGAAUGCUGCAGACCAUCAGGGAGUGCACGGUCCAUCAAGCCCGCAGAACAGAGCCGGACUGGAAUUUGGCAAUUCAUGAACUGAUGGCAUUCAUUUCAAUUCUGUUUGUAAGAGCAAUCAUCUGUCCCGUUGGUGCCAUUGUGGAUUGCUGGUCAGAAAGCUUUUUGGUGCCAGUAAUCAAAGAGACAAUGCCCCGAGAUAGAGUCAUUUCAAUUAUGCAACACCUUUGAUUUGAUGACAAGGACACGUGGGCAGAACGGGUGAAAACAGACAAAUUUGCUGCGAUCUCCGACAUCUGAACACGCUUCAACAAGAACUGUGCUGAGAGUUUCACUUCAGGAGAACACAUGACCAUAGAUGAACAGCUGUUCCCUACCAAGGUUCGUUGUCCAUUCACACAGUAUAUCGCAACCAAGCCAGACAAAUUUAGGAUCAAGUUCUGGAUGGCCACAGAUUUGGAGACCAAAUAUGUCUGCAAUGCAUCUCCUUACUUGGGAAAGGACCCCAGUCUUCAGAAGGGAGAGAGGCUGGCAGAGAACGUGGUCAUGAAUCUGAUUGAGCGAUUUUUGGAUGAUGGGAGAAAUGUCACGACGGACAAUUUCUUUACUUCACUGUCACUGUUGCACAGACUGCUGCAGCGCAAAACAACGCUACUGGGCACGGUGAAUAGAAGUGCCAGUGUCUGCUUGACAGUUUAUGCACCUAAAAAAACAAGACUGUGUGUCUUCUAAGUUCCAUGCACCAAGACGUGACGAUCGGUGAUGGCAGAAAGAGGAAAUCCAACACGAUAACAGACUAUAACUACAAUGCCUCACAGGUAAUGGGUGUGUUUGCACAACAAAAGCAGGAGAACAAUGGAGCUGAUGGCCUGUGAAAAUCUCAGCAGGGGGCUACUAGGUGUGAGGUCCAGGGAAUUUCCGCAAAUUUGCGCAGGUUUAGUAAAGUAGGUCUAGUGUUUUAACAGAAAAUUUCAACAUACAAACAUAAUGCAUAUCCACAAUUUAACAUGAUCACAUAAUAUUGAGAACAGUAAAGGAAAAUAACUAGCUAAAAAGUAGCUAGGUCUGAAAUUUACACAUUUACAAGAAAAAUCAUAAUAAAUUCUGGGUGUCCUGCUCCCGCAAGGUUCUGUCUCGUUUCUGCAAAAUAGGUUAUUUUCUCCCGCUCCCGAUCAAGAUAUUUAAGUUUUGUCCUACUCUCUCCUAUAUUGAAUUCGUACACGCUCUGGACAAGGCUAGGAUCUUCACUCUCAAAGAAGCAUUCCAGAUUCUUGACUAAGCAUUUCACAGUCCAUAAAUUGAAGUUGAAAAAUUGAUGUUUGCCAUAUUAGAUAUAUUACUUUUUUGUAAUUUCUUUAGUUAGUGUGUUGGUUUGAUCUACUAUCUAUCUAUUAUAAUCUUUUUUCUUUAUUGCGGAAAGGGUUAAUAAAUUAGUAUUAAUGUCCAGAAAUUUGGAAUGGCAUGUUCAGUGUUCAGAUGUCCGCAUACUUUUGGCCAUAUAGUAUUAUUCCCUACAGGACAGCAAACCUCCAGGGCUCAACCCAGUUUUCCAAUAAAGUAAAGUUCAGUAGAAGAUUGUCAAAAUGAAUUUAGGCUAUAGAUCAACUUGGGCGAGUUGGGCAUGAUCAGCCUGCCACAACCCUGCUAUGACAAAAAAAAAUUAAGACAGGCAAUGUCACUGGUAUUCUUCCCAAACUUCCUGAUUGCCAAUGUGGACAUAAUGUCAAGAGUCAAGUCAAGAAGCUUUAUUGACAUUUCAACCAUUUAUAGCUGACGCAGUACACAGUGAAAUGAAACAACGUUAGACAACAUAAAGCCUCGGGUGGUUGGCUGACAGAUGUUUAACCCAAUGUGGUCUUCUGAUAUGAACUUAAAGCUUUUAAACUAAAUCUACAUCCUUAUUGGUUUACUGCAUUAAUGAACAGUGUAGCCAUUAGAUGAGACUUAGAUUAGAUUAAACUUAUUUGAAUGUUAAUAUUAUAUUUAAAAUAUUUAGCUUUUAGUUACCUAAAAGCUGUGAGUUUAGAUAGUUGUUGAUCAAUGUUCAGCAUAUUCUGUAUAUAAAUGUCAGAAUAAAAAGUAAUAGGUUCUUUGUGAAACUACAGUUUUUUUGCAUUGCAUAGCAUGCCAUGUGCACUUACUCGUGCUGAAAGUCAUUGUAUUGCAGAACCGUAUAGAGCAAUUAUUAUAAGCAGCACAAUUUAAACACCCCACUUUAAUUUGAAUAAUAGUAAUCUUCCAAAUGCCUUUCCUCAUACAAAUUUAAUAACAGUAAAACAGGACUGAGAAAUAACAUCAUGAAAUAUUUGUUAUUAUGCAAAUAAGGCUAUUACUUACAAUUAAUAUUCAGAAUAUAAAUACAAAAUAAUUCAAUUCAAUUCAUUUUUAUUUGUAUAGCACUUUAACAAUGAACAUUGUCUCAAAGCAGCUUUACACAGAAAAUGUGGUGAUUAAAAGUGAAUAUGUU